This 493-nucleotide ribosomal RNA is filed under the name uncultured bacterium. Its description in RNAcentral is "bacterial SSU rRNA". It matches the Rfam family "Bacterial small subunit ribosomal RNA", at positions 791 to 1286 of the family's 1533-position model. The record is from RNAcentral.
UAGUCCACGCUGUAAACGAUGAUCACUCGAUAUUGGCAACACACAGUCAGUGUCUAAGAGAAAUUGAUAAGUGAUCCACCUGGGGAGUACGAUCGCAAGGUUGAAACUCAAAGGAAUUGACGGGGGCCCGCACAAGCGGUGGAGCAUGUGGUUUAAUUCGAUGAUACGCGAGGAACCUUACCAGGGCUUAAAUGCAGAACGACCGCUUUCGAAAGAGAGCUUUCUUCGGACGGUUUGCAAGGUGCUGCAUGGUUGUCGUCAGCUCGUGCCGUGAGGUGUCGGGUUAAGUCCCAUAACGAGCGCAACCCCUAUUUCUAGUUGCUAGCAGGUAAUGCUGAGGACUCUAGAGAAACUGCCGGCGUAAGCCGAGAGGAAGGUGGGGGAUGACGUCAAAUCAUCACGGGCCCUUACGUCCUGGGGCCACACACGUGCUACAAUGGGUCGGUACAGAGGGCAGCGACUGCGCGAGCAGAGCGAAUCUCCAAAGCCGGGU